This 253-nucleotide ribosomal RNA is filed under the name uncultured bacterium. RNAcentral's name for it is "partial 16S ribosomal RNA". It matches the Rfam family "Bacterial small subunit ribosomal RNA", at positions 524 to 777 of the family's 1533-position model. The record is from RNAcentral.
UACGAAGGGUGCAAGCGUUACUCGGAAUUACUGGGCGUAAAGCGUGCGUAGGUGGUUUGUUAAGUCUGUUGUGAAAGCCCCGGGCUCAACCUGGGAAUGGCAAUGGAUACUGGCAGGCUAGAGUGCGGUAGAGGGUAGUGGAAUUCCCGGUGUAGCGGUGAAAUGCGUAGAGAUCGGGAGGAACACCAGUGGCGAAGGCGGCUACCUGGACCAGCACUGACACUGAGGCACGAAAGCGUGGGAGCAAACAGGG